GUAGGUGGCAAGCGUUGUCCGGGAAUUAUUGGGGCGUAAAGCGCGCGCAGGCGGUUCUUUAAAGUCUGAUGUGAAAGCCCACGGGCUCAACCGUGAGGGUCAUUGGAAACUGGAGAACUUGAGUACAGAAGAGGAAAGUGGAAUUCCACGUGUAGCGGUGAAAUGCGUAGAGAUGUGGAGGAACACCAGUGGCGAAGGCGGCUUUCUGGUCUGUAACUGACGCUGAGGCGCGAAAGCGUGGGGAGCAAACAGGAUUAGAUACCCUGGUAGUCCACGCCGUAAACGAUGAGUGCUAAGUGUUAGGGGGUUUCCGCCCCUUAGUGCUGCAGCUAACGCAUUAAGCACUCCGCCUGGGGAGUACGGCCGCAAAGGCUGA
This 376-nucleotide ribosomal RNA is filed under the name uncultured organism. Its description in RNAcentral is "partial 16S ribosomal RNA". It matches the Rfam family "Bacterial small subunit ribosomal RNA", at positions 527 to 897 of the family's 1533-position model. The record is from RNAcentral.